AAACCAGCACCUCAAGUGGUCAGGAUGAUUAUUGGGCCUAAAGCAUCCGUAGCCGGCUCUGUAAGUUUUCGGUUAAAUCUGUACGCUUAACGUACAGGCUGCCGGGAAUACUGCAGAGCUAGGGAGUGGGAGAGGUAGACGGUACUCGGGAGGAAGUGGUAAAAUGCUUUGAUCUCUCGAUGACCACCUGUGGCGAAGGCGGUCUACCAGAACACGUUCGACGGUGAGGGAUGAAAGCUGGGGGAGCAAACCGGAUUAGAUACCCGAGUAGUCC
Molecule: ribosomal RNA, 274 nt
Filed under: uncultured bacterium
Lineage: Bacteria
Description: partial 16S ribosomal RNA
Rfam family: Archaeal small subunit ribosomal RNA
Source: RNAcentral